Long non-coding RNA from Strigops habroptila (Kakapo), 107 nucleotides. RefSeq lists it as uncharacterized. NCBI's taxonomy places the organism in Eukaryota, Metazoa, Chordata, Aves, Psittaciformes, Psittacidae. The record is from RefSeq and is a predicted model, not a curated record. The transcript is spliced from 3 exons.
CAUAGAAUCAUAGAAUACUGUAGAAGCCUUUCUUGUUAUUCUUUGCAUCCCUUGCCAAGUUCAGCUCCAGCCAUGCCUUGGCCUUCCUGACCCCAUCUCUGCACUAC